This 70-nucleotide transfer RNA is filed under the name Chalcides sphenopsiformis. Its description in RNAcentral is "tRNA-Ile". It matches the Rfam family "tRNA". Rfam says of the family: Transfer RNA (tRNA) molecules are approximately 80 nucleotides in length. Lineage: Eukaryota; Metazoa; Chordata; Lepidosauria; Squamata; Scincidae. The record is from RNAcentral.
CAGGAAAUAUGCCCGAAUCUAAGGACUACUUUGAUAGAGUAUACGACAGGGGUUAAAAUCCCCUUAUUUC